This 440-nucleotide ribosomal RNA is filed under the name uncultured bacterium. Its description in RNAcentral is "partial 16S ribosomal RNA". It matches the Rfam family "Bacterial small subunit ribosomal RNA", at positions 339 to 795 of the family's 1533-position model. The record is from RNAcentral.
CUACGGGUCGCUGCAGUGAGGAAUAUUGCACAAUGGGGGGAACCCUGAUGCAGCAACGCCGCGUGGAGGAUGACGCAUUUCGGUGUGUAAACUCCCUUUAUAUGUCAAGAAAAUGACGGUAGCAUAUGAAUAAGCACCGGCUAACUCCGUGCCAGCAGCCGCGGUAAUACUGGAGGGUGCAAGCGUUACUCGGAAUCACUGGGCGUAAAGGAAGCGUAGGCGGGUUGGAAAGUCAGGUGUGAAAUCCUACAGCUUAACUGUAGAACUGCACUUGAAACUUCUAAUCUAGAGUAUGGGAGGGGGAGAUGGAAUUAGUGGUGUAGGGGUAAAAUCCGUAGAUAUCACUAGGAAUACCUAAAGCGAAGGCGAUCUCCUGGAACAUUACUGACGCUAAGGCGUGAAAGCGUGGGGAGCAAACAGGAUUAGAUACCCCUGUAGUC